This 445-nucleotide ribosomal RNA is filed under the name uncultured bacterium. RNAcentral's name for it is "bacterial SSU rRNA". It matches the Rfam family "Bacterial small subunit ribosomal RNA", at positions 354 to 796 of the family's 1533-position model. The record is from RNAcentral.
GUGAGGAAUAUUGGUCAAUGGGCGCAAGCCUGAACCAGCCAUGCCGCGUGCAGGAAGACGGUCCUAUGGAUUGUAAACUGCUUUUAUUUGGGAAUAAACUCCGGUACGUGUACCGGCCUGAAGGUACCAGAUGAAUAAGCACCGGCUAACUCCGUGCCAGCAGCCGCGGUAAUACGGAGGGUGCAAGCGUUAUCCGGAAUCAUUGGGUUUAAAGGGUCCGCAGGCGGUCUUAUAAGUCAGUGGUGAAAGCCUACAGCUCAACUGUAGAACUGCCAUUGAUACUGUAGGACUUGAAUUCGAUCGAAGUGGGCGGAAUGUGACAUGUAGCGGUGAAAUGCUUAGAUAUGUCACAGAACACCGAUAGCGAAGGCAGCUCACUAGGUCUGGAUUGACGCUCAGGGACGAAAGCGUGGGGAGCAAACAGGAUUAGAAACCCCGGUAGUCC